RNAcentral lists this ribosomal RNA (888 nucleotides) under Triticum aestivum (bread wheat). Its description in RNAcentral is "partial small subunit ribosomal RNA". Lineage: Eukaryota; Viridiplantae; Streptophyta; Magnoliopsida; Poales; Poaceae. The record is from RNAcentral.
AUGGGCCAGCAGUCCAAAAGGACGCGUGCGCCGGCGCCUCAGGUCGUCCCGCCGUCGCUGCCUCAAUUCGUUCCGCCGUUGAUGCCGCAUCUCGUCCCGCCGUCGGCGCCACACCUCGUCCCGCCCCCGUCGGCGCCGCACCUCGUCCCGCCGCCGUCGGCGCCACACCUCGUCCCGCCGCCACGCCAGCCCGGACCAGGUGCCUCGAUCCCCCCACGGCCACCAAAGGCAGCGGCGGCCUCUGCACCAUGCUGGCUGCCCCAGACGCAAGGCCCUUUGUGGUACACGAAUGUUGAUGAUCUGAAUCCAGAAGCAUGGGGAGUGGAUUCUCACCCACCUGGUGGGUUCCUUGGUUUUUUUAAGAACAUGCCAAGCCUUUCCCAAGCUGUGAGCAAUGGGACUUCAUCGCAACAAAUCAAGAAAGGAGAUGCCACCAAUGGUGGCGAGUGUGCAAGGACUGAAAAGCGCUUGCUGUGGACAAAAGAGGAAGAUCUUAGAUUGGUUGGUGCUUGGUUGAAUAAUUCAAACGAUCCAAUCCAAUCAAAUUACAAGAAGAACGACCAAUACUGGAACGAAGUUGCUGCUGUCUACAAUAGUACCACUCCCAAAAACAGGGAAAGGCUAGUCAAGCAAGUGAAGGAUCGCUUUGGGAGAAUUAAGAAAAGGGUUGCAUGGUUUUGUGGGAGUUACAAGGAAGCUAGUGCACUGUAUGCUAGUGGUGAAUCUGAUGCAGAUUUAAAGAAGAGGGCAAUGCAAACUUAUGAGGCAGAUCACCCAGGAGACGGUCCAUUUAUGUUUGAGCAUUGUUGGGUAGUUCUAAAAGAGCAACCAAAAUGGGAUGCAUAUUUGGAACGCCUAGAAGAUGUGGAGCCGGACAAGAAGAUGUAG